UACGUAGGGUGCGAGCGUUGUCCGGAAUUACUGGGCGUAAAGAGCUCGUAGGUGGUUUGUCGCGUUGUCCGUGAAAACUCACAGCUUAACUGUGGGCGUGCGGUCGAUACGGGCAGACUGGAGUACUGCAGGGGAGACUGGAAUUCCUGGUGUAGCGGUGGAAUGCGCAGAUAUCAGGAGGAACACCGGUGGCGAAGGCGGGUCUCUGGGCAGUAACUGACGCUGAGGAGCGAAAGCGUGGGGAGCGAACAGG
RNAcentral lists this ribosomal RNA (253 nucleotides) under uncultured bacterium. RNAcentral's name for it is "partial 16S ribosomal RNA". It matches the Rfam family "Bacterial small subunit ribosomal RNA", at positions 524 to 776 of the family's 1533-position model. The record is from RNAcentral.